RNAcentral lists this ribosomal RNA (379 nucleotides) under uncultured eukaryote. RNAcentral describes it as "partial 18S ribosomal RNA". It matches the Rfam family "Eukaryotic small subunit ribosomal RNA", at positions 592 to 976 of the family's 1831-position model. The record is from RNAcentral.
CAAUAGCGUAUAUUAAAGUUGUUGCAGUUAAAAAGCCCGUAGUUGAACUUCAGACCUGGCCGGGCGGUCUGCCUAACGGUAUGUACUGUCUGGCUGGGUCUUACCUCUUGGUGAGCCGGCAUGCCCUUUACUGGGUGUGUCGGGGAACCAGGACUUUUACCUUGAGAAAAUUAGAGUGUUCAAAGCAGGCCUAUGCCUGAAUACAUUAGCAUGGAAUAAUAAAAUAGGACGUGCGGUUCUAUUUUGUUGGUUUCUAGAGUCGCCGUAAUGAUUAAUAGGGAUAGUUGGGGGCAUUAGUAUUCAGUUGCUAGAGGUGAAAUUCUUGGAUUUACUGAAGACUAACUACUGCGAAAGCAUUUGCCAAGGAUGUUUUCAUUAA